GAUGAACGCUGGCGGCGUGCCUAACACAUGCAAGUCGAACGGACUCAUAUUGAAACCUAGUGAUUUAUGAGUUAGUGGCGGACGGGUGAGUAACGCGUGGAAAACCUGCCGUAUACCGGGGGAUAACACUUAGAAAUAGGUGCUAAUACCGCAUAAGCGCACAGCUUCGCAUGAAGCAGUGUGAAAAACUCCGGUGGUAUAUGAUGGUUCCGCGUCUGAUUAGCUAGUUGGCGGGGUAACGGCCCACCAAGGCAGCGAUCAGUAGCCGGCCUGAGAGGGUGAACGGCCACAUUGGGACUGAGACACGGACCAG
This 313-nucleotide ribosomal RNA is filed under the name uncultured bacterium. RNAcentral's name for it is "bacterial SSU rRNA". It matches the Rfam family "Bacterial small subunit ribosomal RNA", at positions 28 to 334 of the family's 1533-position model. The record is from RNAcentral.